Molecule: unclassified non-coding RNA, 336 nt
Filed under: soil metagenome
Description: partial contains 5.8S ribosomal RNA, internal transcribed spacer 2, and large subunit ribosomal RNA
Rfam family: 5.8S ribosomal RNA (bases 1-120)
Source: RNAcentral
GAUGAAGAACGCAGCGAAAUGCGAUAAGUAAUGUGAAUUGCAGAAUUCAGUGAAUCAUCGAAUCUUUGAACGCACAUUGCGCCCCUUGGUAUUCCGGGGGGCAUGCCUCUUCCAGCGUCAUUUGAAACCUCAAGCUCAGCUUGGUGUUGGGUGUCUGUCCCCGCCUCCGCGGGGACUCGCCUCAAAAUCAUUGGCGGCCGGUACGUUGGCUUCGAGCGCAGCAGAAACGCGAACUCGAGGCCCGGCGGAUCGGCGACCAGAAGUCUCUUCUUCACAGUUUGACCUCGGAUCAGGUAGGGAUACCCGCUGAACUUAAGCAUAUCAAUAAGCAGAGGA